UUGACAGCCCUGGGAGACUGAAAGGCCUCUGUUUAUCCCCAGUACAGGUACAGUGCACAACUAACAAAAAUGAAACUUUGAGAUAUUUUACCAAUGUAUUUCAGCCCUACUCUACAUGACCAGGGAAAAAUACAGGAUGCUAGAGGUUAUUUUAGUUAUUCAGGCUAUGCAAUCCUUUGUCUUU
Molecule: small RNA, 184 nt
Filed under: Cyanistes caeruleus (blue tit)
Lineage: Eukaryota; Metazoa; Chordata; Aves; Passeriformes; Paridae
Description: TUC338 (ENSCCEG00000015094.1)
Source: RNAcentral